AUUUAAAUAAUAUAAUUAUUAUAUUUGACUUCCAAUCAAAAAAUCUAAACUAAAAUUUAGCUUAAAUA
Molecule: transfer RNA, 68 nt
Filed under: Scolytinae sp. BMNH 1040319
Lineage: Eukaryota; Metazoa; Arthropoda; Insecta; Coleoptera; Curculionidae
Description: tRNA-Gly
Source: RNAcentral